Molecule: small RNA, 710 nt
Filed under: Pongo abelii (Sumatran orangutan)
Lineage: Eukaryota; Metazoa; Chordata; Mammalia; Primates; Hominidae
Description: retained intron
Source: RNAcentral
AAAGCCCUCGCUGUGAUCAGGAUGGGUGUCUCAUUCCUUUUCUCUGGGGUCAUUCCAGGUAUGAGACAGAGUUGAACCUGCGCAUGAGUGUGGAGGCCGACAUCAAUGGCCUGCGCAGGGUGCUGGACGAACUGACCCUGGCCAGAGCUGACCUGGAGAUGCAGAUUGAGAGCCUGAAGGAGGAGCUGGCCUACCUGAAGAAGAACCACGAGGAGGAGAUGAAUGCCCUGAGAGGCCAGGUGGGUGGAGAUGUCAAUGUGGAGAUGGACGCUGCACCUGGCGUGGACCUUAGCCGCAUUCUGAACGAGAUGCGUGACCAGUAUGAGAAGAUGGCAGAGAAGAACCGCAAGGACGCCGAGGAAUGGUUCUUCACCAAGACAGAGGAGCUGAACCGCGAGGUGGCCACCAACAGCGAGCUGGUGCAGAGCGGCAAGAGCGAGAUCUCAGAGCUCCGGCGCACCAUGCAGAACCUGGAGAUUGAGCUGCAGUCCCAGCUCAGCAUGAAAGCAUCCCUGGAGAACAGCCUGGAGGAGACCAAAGGCCGCUACUGCAUGCAGCUGGCCCAGAUCCAGGAGAUGAUUGGCAGCGUGGAGGAGCAGCUGGCCCAGCUCCGCUGCGAGAUGGAGCAGCAGAACCAGGAGUACAAGAUCUUGCUGGACGUGAAGACGCGACUGGAGCAGGAGAUUGCCACCUACCGCCGCCUGCUGGAG